AAGGUUUAUUUGGGGGUUUUAUCAAUUGUUUCUUGUCUAUAUUAAAAGUUUGAGGAUAAAAUAAGCAAAGAAUUGCAAGUUGUAAAGAUAAGUAUGAUAUAAAACAUUUUAUAUAAGAUUAUAGUUUAGUUUGUACCGUGUGGGAUUGUUAUAGGAUUAGUCUAAAGAAAGCGUUUAUUUUUGUACCUUUUGUAUCAGGGAUAAUCAAAAUAUUUAGUUUAUUAAUGAAAGUCUCGAAGUAAGAAGAGCAAAUAUGUUAUUAUUGUUUAUGUGGAAAAAUAAAAUUAUAAAUAGUAUAUUAGUGGUGAUACGCCAGGCGAUUCUUUUAUAUCUAGUUUUUCUCGAAGCAGAUUUAAUUUGAUCUUUUAUUUAAAGAUGUAAAAGGUGGACUCUAAGAGGGAUGAGCUUCUUGAGAAAGCAAACAAGACUUUAGAAAUUACAUUGUCUUUUAUUUAAGCUUAAAAUCAGCUAUUUUUUUAAAUCGUUCUAGAUGCUAGGUUUAUUGGUAAUUAUUUUUUUGUUGUCUGUUAGUAAAUAGAGAAAAUUUUGUGUUAAUUUAUUUAAUAAAUUUAUAAUGGUUGUAUUAGUAGAAAUUAUUUUGUGGGUGUGAUAGCUGAAUUUUUAAGUUUGAUUAUAUAAUUGUUGAGAAGUUAUAAUUAAAGAACUCGGCAAAUUUUACUUCUGCCUGUUUAUCAAAAACAUGUCUGUAUGAGUAAAUUAAUAUACAGUCUGGCCUGCCCCCUGAAAACUUUAAAGGGCCGCGGUAUCUGAACCGUGCUAAGGUAGCAUAAUAAAUAGUCUUUUAAUUGAGGUCUAGUAUGAACGGUCGGACAUGAAGUACUCUGUUUUAAUUAUAAAAUUUGAAUUUUACUUUUAAGUGAAAAGGCUUAAAUUGUAUGGUGGGACGAUAAGACCCUAUAAAGCUUUACAUUUUAUCAGUAUAGCUGGAGAAUUUAUGGUUUUCUAUGCUUGACGGGUCAAGUGUUUCGUUGGGGCGACGAAAAUAUAAAAUAGUAACUGUUUUUGGUUUAAAAAUAAAUUUUUUUAGGUGUUAAGAUCCUUUAUAGAGAUUAUAAGAAUAAAGUUACUUUAGGGAUAACAGCGUAAUUUUUCUUGAGAGUUCAUAUCGACAGAAUUAGUUGCGACCUCGAUGUUGAAUUAAGAUGCCCCUUAGGUGUAGCAGUUUUAGUGGUAGGUCUGUUCGACCUUUAAAAUCUU
RNAcentral lists this ribosomal RNA (1218 nucleotides) under Caridina typus. RNAcentral describes it as "partial 16S ribosomal RNA". The stretch from base 899 to 1218 matches the Rfam family "Archaeal large subunit ribosomal RNA", at positions 2154 to 2668 of the family's 2987-position model. The record is from RNAcentral. Lineage: Eukaryota; Metazoa; Arthropoda; Malacostraca; Decapoda; Atyidae.